UGCCAGCAGCCGCGGUAACACGGGGGGCGCAAGCGUUAUUCGGAAUUACUGGGCGUAAAGGGUGCGUAGGCGGCCCAUCAAGUUAGACGUGAAAGCCCCGGGCUCAACCUGGGAAUUGCGUUUAAUACUGGUGAGCUAGAGUACGAGAGAGGAAAGUGGAAUUCCUAGUGUAGAGGUGAAAUUCGUAGAUAUUAGGAAGAACACCAGUGGCGAAGGCGACUUCCUGGCUCGUAACUGACGCUGAGGCACGAAAGCGUGGGGAGCAAACAGGAUUAGAUA
RNAcentral lists this ribosomal RNA (279 nucleotides) under uncultured bacterium. Its description in RNAcentral is "partial 16S ribosomal RNA". It matches the Rfam family "Bacterial small subunit ribosomal RNA", at positions 506 to 784 of the family's 1533-position model. The record is from RNAcentral.